Molecule: long non-coding RNA, 337 nt
Organism: Haliotis rubra (blacklip abalone)
Lineage: Eukaryota; Metazoa; Mollusca; Gastropoda; Lepetellida; Haliotidae
Exons: 2
Source: RefSeq, a predicted model, not a curated record
UUCCGCGUGAGCGCGUCGUGUGUCUCAACGAGUCCUGCAUUCUUACCUAUCGUCUGCUCCCAAACAUGCGGUGUGUCGUCUGCUCACAGACACGAGGAGCUGUCUGGACGUCUGGACAGGCGGUACUGUCUAUGUGGGGAGGAGUUGACAUCGAUAGCAUUUUGAGGACCAAAUAGCAGAAAAACAGAAUUGUGAGGAUUGUGACGGGGCCAAGAAGUGAGUUCGAGACAACCGGGAAUUCGACACAUCCAAGUUCGACACAACGAUGUUUCGUGAUUUAACGCUGCAAAAACAACUCUUGAAAUAUAUCAUUCUCAGUAGGCCCCUAACGACGUUA